GUGGCUUUUGGGCUGUCGCAGAUGGAUGAGCCUGCGUUGGAUUAGCUAGUUGGUGGGGUAAGGGCCUACCAAGGCUACGAUCCAUAGCUGAUUUGAGAGGAUGAUCAGCCACAUUGGGACUGAGACACGGCCCAAACUCCUACGGGAGGCAGCAGUGAGGAAUAUUGGACAAUGGGGGCAACCCUGAUCCAGCAAUGCCAUGUGUGUGAAGAAGGCCUUAGGGUUGUAAAGCACUUUAGUUGGGGAAGAAAGCUUUGAGGUUAAUAGCCUUGAGGAAAAGGACGUUACCCAAAGAAUAAGCACCGGCUAACUCCGUGCCAGCAGCCGCGGUAAUACGGGGGGUGCAAGCGUUAAUCGGAAUUACUGGGCGUAAAGGGUCUGUAGGUGGUUUGUUAAGUCAGAUGUGAAAGCCUAGGGCUCAACCUUGGAACUGCAUUUGAUACUGGUAAACUAGAGUACGGUAGAGGAAUGGGGAAUUUCUGGUGUAGCGGUGAAAUGCGUAGAGAUCAGAAGGAACACCAAUGGCGAAGGCAACAUUCUGGACCGAUACUGACACUGAGGGACGAAAGCGUGGGGAUCAAACAGGAUUAGAUACCCUGGUAGUCCACGCUGUAAACGAUGAGUACUAGCUGUUGGAGUCGGUGUAAAGGCUCUAGUGGCGCAGCUAACGCGAUAAGUACUCCGCCUGGGGACUACGGCCGCAAGGCUAAAACUCAAAGGAAUUGACGGGGACCCGCACAAGCGGUGGAGCAUGUAGUUUAAUUCGAUGCAACGCGAAGAACCUUACCUGGUCUUGACAUCCUGCGAUCUUUCUAGAGAUAGAUUGGUGCCUUCGGGAACGCAGUGACAGGUGCUGCACGGCUGUCGUCAGCUCGUGUUGUGAAAUGUUGGGUUAAGUCCCGCAACGAGCGCAACCCCUAUUGAUAGUUACCAUCAUUAAGUUGGG
Molecule: ribosomal RNA, 946 nt
Filed under: Francisella endosymbiont of Dermacentor andersoni
Lineage: Bacteria; Pseudomonadati; Pseudomonadota; Gammaproteobacteria; Thiotrichales; Francisellaceae
Description: bacterial SSU rRNA
Rfam family: Bacterial small subunit ribosomal RNA
Source: RNAcentral